GACGAACGCUGGCGGCGUGCUUAACACAUGCAAGUCGAACGGAAAGGCCCUGCUUUCGUGGGGUGCUCGAGUGGCGAACGGGUGAGUAACACGUGAGAAACCUGCCCUAGACUUUGGGAUAACUUCAGGAAACUGGGGCUAAUACCGGAUAGGAGCUCCUGCUGCAUGGUGGGGGUUGGAAAGUUUCGGCGGUUGGGGAUGGACUCGCGGCUUAUCAGCUUGUGGGUGGGGUAGUGGCUUACCAAGGCUUUGACGGGUAGCCGGCCUGGGAGGGUGACCGGCCACAUUGGGACUGAGAGACGGCCCAGACUCCUACGGGAGGCAGCGGGGGGGAAUAUUGCACAAUGGGCGGAAGCCGGAUGCAGCAACGCCGCGGGCGGGAUGACGGCCUUCGGGUUGUAAACCGCUUUCGCCUGUGACGAAGCGUGAGUGACGGUAAUGGGUAAAGAAGCACCGGCUAACUACGUG
This 468-nucleotide ribosomal RNA is filed under the name uncultured bacterium. RNAcentral describes it as "partial 16S ribosomal RNA". It matches the Rfam family "Bacterial small subunit ribosomal RNA", at positions 28 to 507 of the family's 1533-position model. The record is from RNAcentral.